This 611-nucleotide unclassified non-coding RNA is filed under the name Filobasidium oeirense. Its description in RNAcentral is "sequence contains ITS1, 5.8S rRNA gene, ITS2". The stretch from base 92 to 245 matches the Rfam family "5.8S ribosomal RNA". Lineage: Eukaryota; Fungi; Basidiomycota; Tremellomycetes; Filobasidiales; Filobasidiaceae. The record is from RNAcentral.
UAUCCAUAACACCUGUGCACUGUUGGAUGCUUGCAUCCACUUUUAAACUAAACAUUAUUGUAACAAAUGUAGUCUUAUUAUAACAUAAUAAAACUUUCAACAACGGAUCUCUUGGCUCUCGCAUCGAUGAAGAACGCAGCGAAAUGCGAUAAGUAAUGUGAAUUGCAGAAUUCAGUGAAUCAUCGAAUCUUUGAACGCACCUUGCGCUCCUUGGUAUUCCGAGGAGCAUGCCUGUUUGAGUGUCAUGAAACCCUCAAACCCAAGUUUUGGAUUUCGGUCCAUGCUUGAGUUUGGAUUUGGAUGUUUGCCGGUGAUGAACCGACUCAUCUUAAAAGUAUUAGCUGGAUCUGUCUAUAUGACUGGUUUGACUUGGCAUAAUAAGUAUUUUGCUGAGGACAUCUUCGGAUGGCCAGGACCUAGACUAUUGUCUGCUAACUAAACCAUCACUUUAAGUGCAUCCUUGGAUGUUACUCAUUGUGUAACUUUGACAUCUGGCCUCAAAUCAGGUAGGACUACCCGCUGAACUUAAGCAUAUCAAUAAGCGGAGGAAAAGAAACUAACAAGGAUUCCCCUAGUAACGGGCGAGUGAAGCGGGAAGAGCUCAAAUUUGA